UAAGCCUUUCCUCUGUAGUCUGCAUAAUUGUUUAAUAAACCGUUCUCUCCGGGACUUGAAACCUGGAUUUCUUGUAAUCUGCAAUAAAUUGCAUAGUCUGGGAUUCGAACCCCAGACCUGGGUGUAGAAGCCUUUAAACCUUAACCAAUAGGCUACGGUGCUUCCACCUUGAGUUUUUUUUUACAAAACUAUUUUAUUACUUAAAUUAAGUGUGGUAAAGAAAGCCAAACCGGAAUAAAACAUUGGCAAACAAAAAAAAAACUUUUGAGACAUGUAUUCUUAUCUAAUGAAUCCACAGUCAUGUUUUGCGCUUGAUGUUGAUAAACAAUCUUAAAAUAUCUCUUAACAUUUUUAACCCUUUUAGUUCUUUUGAACAACUUGAUCAUGUCAUUGGUUCUUGAAUCAUUGAAAUCAGACUCUUACAGCCCAUUCCAAAAUAAUGAUAGCUUGAGUAGUCUUCAAAAAAAGUGCGUCCAGUUCCGUAUGCAGAGAAGGCACAUGCUUAAUUUGGUUCCUUAUUCCUAUAAGUUGGUUUCAACCGGAUAAUCUCUUUUAACUCAUCCACAUCCACUGAAUAUACGAUUUCUUUUAGUUGCUUCACUAGAUAGCUUAUGAUUCAUCCACCAUGCAAAUGUUUUGUAAGCUUACAACUUGAGCAGUCACUGGAUGAAGCAUUGUUUGCCUUUUCGGUAUGUCUGUUGUAUUUUCUUCAAACCACACUUGAUAUUCACCUUUGACGUGUCUUAUUAACGUUAAAAAAUCGUUUAUGAUUACUCUAAAUAAUUUAUCGUUUUGAGUUUUUAAAAAUACCAGAUUAUCAUAGAGAAGGAUUUAUACCUAACUGCAUAUCUUCAAUAUCGUCCGAGUUGGUAUAAACACUGAAAUCUGAAAAAAAUUGUGGCUAUACUUGUAAAUAGACUCUAAAAGACUAAGUGAGUGUAUGAUCGUGACUAUAGUAAACUUGUGGUCUUGCUUGAAUUCACUUAGUCUUUGGAUGCUAUGAACUAUUCUAAAUUGCUUGCUUCUUCUGAUUCAUAGUACUGCUAGCUUAAACCAAGUAACGGUUACCUUUUUUUAUUUGUUUGGGUCAGUCUAUGUGUUUAGAGCAUUGCUACUUGUUAUGGCAUGACUGGAUUGUGAAGUGGCUCAAUAGCUUGUGAACAGUUAAGUUGGCUAAACAGUUAUUGAUAAGCAUAACUAACUGAUUGAAUUUUUUAUCUUAGUGUGAUUCAUAUAUUGUAGUGAAACGAGACAAUCAUUCUCAUUAAACAAAUUUGUUGCGUAUAUCUUUUUUUUUAUUGGUGCAUGGAAGGAUCAAACUCGUCAGGGUAAAGAUAUUACUUGAUUAAAGAACUAAAACAUAAAGGACGAUAGAUUUAGAUACAGACAUGUCAAGUAGUACAUGUAAUAGGUUAUGUUUUUUUUUUGAUAAACCCUAUCGGCUGAUCCGGUCGGCCCCGGAAGGAACACACUUAGUGCUAUAUAAUGGACUAGCCCAAAAGCGUACCAUACUGCCUGAUCCGAGUUUGAAAUAUCUUCUGACUAAUGCCACGGGAUGGACCAAUCAUCUGUUAUGGCCUACCAUGUAAACCACUUGGACCGAAUCCCAAGCAUAAACUGGUCAAGUAGUGAUAAUUUAGUUUUCAGAGGGAAUCGAAUCCAUAACUGAUGUAGGUACACACCAAGCUCCAAGAGAUUGCCACAAGUGGUGUUUAGAAAUAGACAAAUUCAGAUAGAUUUACUAAAUUGCUUGCCUCUUCUGAUUGCCACAACCCCUCUCGACAAGACCAGAGAUAGAGAAUUAGUAAAUCUUCAAGUGUUUAUAUUGAUAUGUCCUGGAAAAUCAUUGAUACCACAAGUGGUGUUUGAUGCGUAGUACAAUUACAAGACAAAACAACUGAUCUACCUGCCCUUCAGGACAGCCAUUGAGUAAAAAAAAUAAAAGAUAGGAUUGUAGUUCAACAAAGCAACACCAGCUCUAAUAUCGAAGUAGUUAACAACAUAUAAAGAACAUUACUGACAACAAUCACAACAUCAAAGAUUCCUCCCAUCAUCCACUAUACA
This is a long non-coding RNA of Brassica rapa (field mustard), 2064 nucleotides long. RefSeq lists it as uncharacterized. The record is from RefSeq and is a predicted model, not a curated record. Lineage: Eukaryota; Viridiplantae; Streptophyta; Magnoliopsida; Brassicales; Brassicaceae.